GGAGGAUAAGAAACUAACAAGGAUUCCCCUAGUAACGGCGAGUGAAGCGGGAAAAGCUCAAAUUUGAAAGCUGGUACCUCCGGUGCCCGCGUUGUAAUCUCGAGACGCGUUUUCCGCGCGGCGCUAUGGACAAGUUCCUUGGAACAGGACAUCGUAGAGGGUGAAAAUCCCGUACUUGCCAUGGAUGCACCGUGCUUUGUGAUACGUGCUCAAAGAGUCGAGUUGUUUGGGAUUGCAGCUCAAAAUGGGUGGUAGACUCCAUCUAAAGCUAAAUAUCGGGGAGAGACCGAUAGCGAACAAGUACCGUGAGGGAAAGAUGAAAAGCACUUUGGAAAGAGAGUUAAAAGUACGUGAAAUUGUCGAAAGGGAAGCGCUUGAAGUCAGCCAUGCCGCUCAGGACUCAGCCUGGCUUUUGCUUGGUGUAUUUCCUGGGUAGCAAGUCAGCAUUGGUUCGGAUCGUCGGAGAAGCAUGGCAGGAAUGUGACGUCCUCGGGCGUGUUAUAGCCUGCCAUUGGAUACGCCGAUCUGGACCAAGGAACGCAGUGCGCCUUACGGCGGGUCUUCGGACACCUUCGCACUUAGGAUGCUGGCGUAAUGG
Molecule: ribosomal RNA, 598 nt
Filed under: Malassezia sp. 2 GC-2013
Lineage: Eukaryota; Fungi; Basidiomycota; Malasseziomycetes; Malasseziales; Malasseziaceae
Description: eukaryotic LSU rRNA
Rfam family: Eukaryotic large subunit ribosomal RNA
Source: RNAcentral